UUGAAACCCUUGUCUGUUGAAUCCUGUGGACUUCCUAACCCUAUGGACUUCCUAUACACUCCCAGCUCCAAAACAACCAAAUGCCCAACCUCUGACAUUAUUACCCCCCUAGUCCUACUUCUAGUGUCAUUGGCCUUCAUUUUCCCUUUUGACAAAGUCCUUCCUCCACCCAUGCCUUCCUGUCAUCGAUGACUGCCUUGUCUCCUUGAGUAGAAAGGUACUUGAGCAGAGAAAGAAGGCAGAGGAAGAGGAAGCGAGAUGGAGUGAGAGGCAGAAGCAGAGAGAGAAGAAGCUUGCGAAGGUGGUUUCGAAGCGCGCCCAGGCCAACGACACCCACGUGCCCCUCUCUCAGACCAACCAGUCCAAGCUCAAGCAGUUCAGAAAGCAGGACUUUCAGCGCAGGAAGGAGUACAAGGAAGAGAUGAGGGAGAUCCAGGAGAGAGUGAAGGGGAGGCCUCUGCUGUUGGAGCAGGUCGCACAGGUGAGCCUGAAACGCCCCCCCCCCCCCACACACACACACACACACACACAUGUGGAGUGACAUGACAUGGGUUGCAUUUCAGUAGUUAUAAG
RNAcentral lists this long non-coding RNA (573 nucleotides) under Oncorhynchus kisutch (coho salmon). Its description in RNAcentral is "lncRNA (ENSOKIG00005024579.1)". Lineage: Eukaryota; Metazoa; Chordata; Actinopteri; Salmoniformes; Salmonidae. The record is from RNAcentral.